UUGAGUCAGUGUCUCCCGUGUAUAAAUGAGCGUGUGAGACAAGUUGUGCUACAGAUGGGACAGAAGAGGAGCUGACAGAGAGGUACCAGCGGCAGCAGCAGUGGGAUCAUGAAGUCAGUGAUAGCGGUUCUCCUGUGCAUCUUGGGGUCCCAAUUGGUCACUGGGAAGUCUCUGCGAGUGGCUGUGGCAUCAAACAUACAGAUCUGUGACUUCCCAUGUGAGAAACAAGUGGUUUAUUUUCUGGAAAGAGCAUCCAAGGAACAGAUCAUGGACUUCUCUUGCAUGGACAGGUAUCUGCACAUUUAUGGCACUUACAGAGAGAGACUUCAGUUGAACCAAUCUACUGGCUGCUGCACUAUUACCAAUGCCCAGAAAUCUGACUCCGGUGAUUAUGUGUUGGAAUAUCAGGAGCUCAGGAAAGUCACACAGUUCAAAUAUACAAACUACUUGAUCAUAGACCCAGUCUGUGUGACCAACAUAACAACCGACCGCAGUGGAGAAAAUGUAAGUCUGAGACUUUCCUACAGUGGGGAAGAGACCACAGUUCUGUGGACAUGGAACGGAGGAGCCCUGCCUGAGAGACACCAGCUGAGUGACAGUAACAAGACUCUCACUGUACCCAGUACUGACACUGGCACAUUCACUGUCCUUGUCUCCAACCCAGUCAGUCACACCAGCACUCACUAUAACCUCACACUCCCAGGUAAGUGACAGUAACAAGACUCUCACUGUACCCAGUACUGACACUGGCACAUUCACUGUCCUUGUCUCCAACCCAGUCAGUCACACCAGCACUCACUAUAACCUCACACUCCCAGGUAAGUGACAGUAACAAGACUCUCACUGUACCCAGUACUGACACUGGCACAUUCACUGUCCUUGUCUCCAACCCAGUCAGUCACACCAGCACUCACUAUAACCUCACACUCCCAGGUAAGUGACAGUAACAAGACUCUCACUGUACCCAGUACUGACACUGGCACAUUCACUGUCCUUGUCUCCAACCCAGUCAGUCACACCAGCACUCACUAUAACCUCACACUCCCAGAUACUGCCUUGCCCUCUCGAUCUCGCACUGUGUCAGCUGGGAUUAUUAUUGCUGCUGUCUCUUUGGUUUUUGUCGCUGGUAUUUUUAUUUGUCUCUUCAAGUGAACCAGACAAACAAAUGACAGUUAAUAAAAAGUGCCAUUUAGGCUGCUGCUCCAGGAUAAACCUAUGCAAGUUACCAAGGGCUGUAUCACAGGAACCUCCAAUCUGGUCAGUACGUGAGCCAUCAAUACAUCUUUCUUUCACUGCAACAAAUGGGAUUGAGGACAAUGACGGGCCGGGGUGGCUUCAGGGGGUCCCAAGGCUUCUUGGAUGACAUUUGUAAUAUACAUGUGGGCACUAACAAUUAUCAGAUACAAUAGAACCCCCAUUUUGCGUUUUUUUAGGAGAAAAAAGUGAAAAAAUUUAAAAUUUGAACUUUAAUUUGAACACAAUGUGAAUGCAAUUCGAAUGUCAGGAAGGCUAUUAAAGGAAAACUAUACCCCCAAAAUGAACA
This is an RNA transcript of Xenopus laevis (African clawed frog), 1543 nucleotides long. RefSeq lists it as uncharacterized. NCBI's taxonomy places the organism in Eukaryota, Metazoa, Chordata, Amphibia, Anura, Pipidae. The transcript is spliced from 4 exons. The record is from RefSeq and is a predicted model, not a curated record.